RNAcentral lists this transfer RNA (61 nucleotides) under Albinaria caerulea. Its description in RNAcentral is "tRNA-Gln". The record is from RNAcentral. Lineage: Eukaryota; Metazoa; Mollusca; Gastropoda; Stylommatophora; Clausiliidae.
UUUCUAUUGGUGUAAAGCACGUUAAUUUUUGAGGUUAAAGGAAAAAUAUUUUUAUAGAAAA